CAUUUGUGUAUGUAGUCAUGGACACCGACUUAAAAAAUGAACAAUGCUACCCCUUCAGCUGCAGGUGCAGGGUACUAUGUCUGGACUUGGCUUUUGAUUUCAAUUCGUCUUGCUUUUUUGUACUAAAUCUUUGAUUCGUGCUUUUUCUCUUUUCAAUAGUAAAUCAUCUUGCAAUACCCAUGGUGCCACACGUGUUUUAUUCACCAAUCCUGUCAAGAGAAAUUAAAAUCAAGACGCCGAUUAGCUUAGCCUUGGGCUGCUCCUUUUCUGCCUUCUGUUUCCUGUAUACACCCAUCUUUCUUUGAUGUACCUAAAUUUCUUUUUGUUGUGUUAGGUUGACAGUGACAGUAGAUGGAGCUUCUCUGACCGCUACUGAAGACACCGCUGAACAGCUUAACCAGACAAAGACAAAGUGCUAUUAUGUAGGCAUGGUUUAAAAACUAUAGCCUUUGGCUGGUCAAGUAGCCUUGCCAAAGCGUUUGUGUAAUCUCUACAAGUGGUAUGAAGCAAAUUCUAUGUAUAUAACACACACGAUGCAGAUAAUAAUUAUAUAGAAGCAGAGAAUCAACCUUGCUAGAGCGUUUGUCAAAUCUCUACUCAAGUAGCCUUGCCAAACUUUAUCUGUUGUGUUCUUUACAUGUUGUUUCAGUACAUUCUCUAGCGUAAAUUUCCUUUUCAGUCAAGCAAAGUUUUCU
This 695-nucleotide long non-coding RNA is filed under the name Triticum aestivum (bread wheat). Its description in RNAcentral is "long non-coding RNA (TAES_LNC007163)". The record is from RNAcentral. Lineage: Eukaryota; Viridiplantae; Streptophyta; Magnoliopsida; Poales; Poaceae.